UACAGAGGUCUCAAGCGUUGUUCGGAUUCAUUGGGCGUAAAGGGUGCGUAGGCGGCGCGGUAAGUCGGGUGUGAAAUCUCGGAGCUUAACUCCGAAACUGCAUUCGAUACUGCCGUGCUUGAGGACUGGAGAGGAGACUGGAAUUUACGGUGUAGCGGUGAAAUGCGUAGAUAUCAAGCGGAACACCAGUGGCGAAGGCGAGUCCCUGGACAACUCCUGACACUGAGGCACGAAAGCUAGGGGAGCAAACAGG
RNAcentral lists this ribosomal RNA (253 nucleotides) under uncultured bacterium. RNAcentral describes it as "partial 16S ribosomal RNA". It matches the Rfam family "Bacterial small subunit ribosomal RNA", at positions 524 to 776 of the family's 1533-position model. The record is from RNAcentral.